CCUACGGGUGGCAGCAGUGGGGAAUAUUGCACAAUGGGGGAAACCCUGAUGCAGCAACGCCGCGUGAGCGAUGAAGGCCUUCGGGUCGUAAAGCUCUGUCCUAAGGGAAGAAUACUGACGGUACCUUAGGAGGAAGCCCCGGCUAACUACGUGCCAGCAGCCGCGGUAAUACGUAGGGGGCUAGCGUUAUCGGGAAUUACUGGGCGACAAGGGUGAGUAGGCGGCCCUUCAAGUCAGAGGCGAAAGCCUACGGCUCAACAGUAGUAAGCCUUUGAAACAGUAGGGCUUGAGUGCAGGAGAGGUGAGUGGAAUUCCCAGUGUAGCGGUGAAAUGCGUAGAUAUUGGGAGGAACACCAGUUGCGAAGGCGGCUCUAUGGACUGUAACUGACGCUGAGGCACGAAAGCGUGGGGAGCCAACAGGAUUAGAUACCCUGGUAGUC
Molecule: ribosomal RNA, 440 nt
Filed under: uncultured bacterium
Lineage: Bacteria
Description: bacterial SSU rRNA
Rfam family: Bacterial small subunit ribosomal RNA
Source: RNAcentral